AAAUGAAACCUUGCCCGGAGUUCCGAACGCGUUUCUAUUUCUCCUCCCCCCCCCUCCCAAAGAGAUGUUGUGAGAACCCGCAGGGCCGCAGCCCACACUUCCGGUUCUGAUUUUAGUUCUGGAAAGUCCUCCAUGAGCGGGGCAAGCGUGGAGGAAAUAAGGAAUCCGUACAAAAUCUUAAAUAAAGACAGGUUUCUUACACAAAGCUAUGCAGCCUGAUUCUGUGCAUGCUUAGGAAGUACCCCUGCAUUCGGCAGAGCUUGCUCUAAAGAAAGAACACACACAGGAUUGAUUGCAGCCUCCGAGGAAUCCCUUCCCUGCCAGUAAAAAGGAGGAAAUGUUUUUGAAGAAAUGGUCCACAUCUGAAGCUCCUUUUCCACUUAUGAUUAAAUACUAUAUUAAUAAAUGCCGAGUGCCACCUCCAGGUUGCAGGAGUCUCCUAUUCUAGGACUGUGGCUGGCAAUGGCUGAAGGAGAAACCCAGAAACUGCUCCCCAGGUUAAUUCAAGAAGGGAAAUUCCCACUCCUGAAAGAGGCGAUAGCACAUGUCGGCGACCUGGACAGGGACGUGCGGCAGAAGCAGUUUGGGAGGUCGGGGGACACGCUGCUCCACUACGCGGCCCGCCAUGGCCGCCUCGGCAUCCUGGGCUACUUGGUUGAGACAUUGGCCAUGGACCUGGAACUGCCGAACAAUGACUACAAGCGGCCCCUGCACGAAGCAGCCUCCAUGGGUCAUGGGGACUGUGUCUUGUACCUGCUGGAGAGAGGCGCGGCUGUCGACUGCUUGAAGAAGGCUGACUGGACCCCGCUAAUGAUGGCUUGUACCAGGAGGAACCUGAAGCUUAUUCAAGACCUUGUCCAGCGUGGAGCAAACCCAUUGCUGAAGAACAAAGAUGGCUGGAAUUGCUUCCAUAUAGCCAGCAGAGAGGGGGAUCCCCGGGUGAUCCAGUACUUGCUUGACGUCUCGCCCAACAUCUGGAACACGGAAAGCAAAAUCAAAAGAACGCCACUGCAUACCGCAGCAAUGCACGGGGGCCUGGAGGUGGUGAGAGUGCUCCUUGAACGGUGCCCCUAUGAACCUGACAGUAAGGACAAAUGUGGAGUCACUGCCUUUAUGGAUGCAAUACAGAACGGGCAUCUUGAUAUCGCCCAGCUGCUUCUAGAAAAACAUAAGGCUUGCUACACCAUGGAGGAUGCACUCGGAGCUCAGCCACUGCACCGGGCCGCAGUCACGGCACAGGACAACGCCCUCCGGUUCCUCGUUGUGGACCUUGGUGUCGAUGUCAACGCGAGAGCCACCUCACUCCAGAUCACGGCAUUACAUUACGCUGCAAAGAUAUCCUUCAACGAACUCGGGGUUCUCCUUCCACCUCGUUUUGUCCUCACAACAACCCUGCGAGAAGAAGUAGUUGCUGCAGAACUUUCUUUAGAUGUGACAGUAAUACAGAAGAGUAGUCUUGGAAGGUUGUUUGGAAGGACACACAGACACUAUCAAGACCCUUCUGUCCCUUGGUGUUGAUCUGAAUGCUAAGGAUGGGAAAAACCGAACAGGAGCCCAGAGCGGUGAGAUAUGUGACUGGCUCAGAGUCAUCCAGUGAGUGUCAUGGCUGAAUGGGGAUUUGAACUCAGGUCUCCCCGGGCCUAGCUCAGCACUCUAACCACUGCACCACACUGGCUUGUUGAGGGAGACUGAAAGCUGGAGAUAAUCAAAGGCUAGAGGAGGCAAUAAACAACAUAGGAAGCUGCCUUCCUAGGAACAUAGGAUGAACAUAAAGGACAUAGGAAGAAAAGAAGAGCAUAGGAAGCUGCCUUCUACCGAGUCAGACCACUGGUCCAUCUAGCUCAGUAUUGUCUAUCCAGACUGGCAGCGGCUUCUCCAAGGUUGCCGGCAGGAGUCUCUCUCAGCCCUUUUUGGAGAUGCUGCCAGGGAGGGAACUUGGAACCUUCUGCAUGCAAGCAGGCAGGUGCUCUUCCCAGAGUGGCCCCAUCCCCUCUUACAGUGCUCACAUGUAGUCUCCCAUUUGAAUGCAAACCAGGGUGGACCCUGCUUAGCAAAGGGGACAAUUGCUACCACAAGACCAGCUCUCCUCCCACCACCACCGCCACAAGACUCGCCUCCUCCUGAUUCUGUGUUGACUGAAAGCCUGACAGACCAGCCCUGGUUUCUUGCUGCCCUGCACAUGGCAUGUGCCGGUCAGCAUGCAGCAUGCACACAAGUUCUUCUGGAGGCAGGAUUGCAGGACUCUCCAGACAGUACCGGGACACGUGCACAGCAGCUUGCAAAGAAGUCAAACCUUCUCCAGCUUUUCAAGGAAAUCAAUAUUAGUGCAUGAAACUGGCACACAAGACAAUAAAACUGCUUCUUUCCAGACUU
Hemicordylus capensis (graceful crag lizard) is the source of this 2373-nucleotide RNA transcript. It is a transcript of the gene named ankyrin repeat domain 16, with no coding region annotated. The transcript is spliced from 12 exons. The record is from RefSeq and is a predicted model, not a curated record. Lineage: Eukaryota; Metazoa; Chordata; Lepidosauria; Squamata; Cordylidae.